ACGCUGGCGGCGUGCCUAACACAUGCAAGUCGAACGGGAAUCUUCGGAUUCUAGUGGCGGACGGGUGAGUAACGCGUAAGAAUCUAACUUCAGGACGGGGACAACAGUUGGAAACGACUGCUAAUACCCGAUGUGCCGAAAGGUGAAACCUAAUUGGCCUGAAGAAGAGCUUGCGUCUGAUUAGCUAGUUGGUGGGGUAAAGGCCUACCAAGGCGACGAUCAGUAGCUGGUCUGAGAGGAUGAGCAGCCACACUGGGACUGAGACACGGCCCAGACUCCUACGGGAGGCAGCAGUGGGGAAUUUUCCGCAAUGGGCGAAAGCCUGACGGAGCAACGCCGCGUGAGGGAGGAAGGUCUUUGGAUUGUAAACCUCUUUUCUCAAGGAAGAAGUUCUGACGGUACUUGAGGAAUCAGCCUCGGCUAACUCCGUGCCAGCAGCCGCGGUAAUACGGGGGAGGCAAGCGUUAUCCGGAAUUAUUGGGCGUAAAGCGUCCGCAGGUGGUCAGCCAAGUCUGCCGUCAAAUCAGGUUGCUUAACGACCUAAAGGCGGUGGAAACUGGCAGACUAGAGAGCAGUAGGGGUAGCAGGAAUUCCCAGUGUAGCGGUGAAAUGCGUAGAGAUUGGGAAGAACAUCGGUGGCGAAAGCGUGCUACUGGGCUGUAUCUGACACUCAGGGACGAAAGCUAGGGGAGCGAAAGGGAUUAGAUACC
This 710-nucleotide ribosomal RNA is filed under the name Microcystis aeruginosa UADFM3. RNAcentral's name for it is "bacterial SSU rRNA". It matches the Rfam family "Bacterial small subunit ribosomal RNA", at positions 33 to 786 of the family's 1533-position model. The record is from RNAcentral. RNAcentral also lists the same sequence under 1 other name. Lineage: Bacteria; Bacillati; Cyanobacteriota; Cyanophyceae; Chroococcales; Microcystaceae.